RNAcentral lists this long non-coding RNA (652 nucleotides) under Sorghum bicolor (sorghum). Its description in RNAcentral is "long non-coding RNA (SBIC_LNC000663)". The record is from RNAcentral. Lineage: Eukaryota; Viridiplantae; Streptophyta; Magnoliopsida; Poales; Poaceae.
CGGGCUCCGCUUCCUUCCCGUGGCUUCUGGAGUCUUCUAGAUGGUAGAAAAUUGCGCGGUGGGUUGAUAUCUCUAUGUAAUCCCGACAUGUGGGCCUUUCUUCCUUAUUUCCUGAUAACCCCCUGCAGAAAUAGACAAACACCAAAACUCGUGGAAUUCUGUCAGAUAAAACCCUAAGUCUAGAUGUUGAUUUCAUUUGGAUCCUUUUCUUUGUUUAUUUGAUAAUUAAAUUUGAUACUUAAGGACCGUCAACAAACUCCCCCAAGCUUACCUCUUGCUCGUCCCUGAGCAAGGAUGAACUCAAGAGUUUCUGCAGUGGUUUCAUUUCUUAGAAGUACACACGAAUUUAAGCAAGAUCUCAUCUCUGAGUUAGAAUAAACUGUUAAGACUUAAAACUUACUUACUUUACCUACACCAUAGGACUUGUAACCGUCACUUCUGUCUUGAGUGGUUAAAAGAUAGAACAGUCUAGCCAAGUGUCAUGUCUCUUAUUCUUGAUCAGCUAUAGAAUUAGGGUUUGAUCUGACAGAAUUCCACGAGUUUUGUUGUUUAUCUAUUUCUGCAGGGGGUUAUCAGGAAAUAAGGAAGAAAGGCCCACAUAUCAGGAUUACAUAGAGAUAUCAACGCAUCGCGCAAUUUUACAUCAUCUAGA